RNAcentral lists this ribosomal RNA (2940 nucleotides) under uncultured archaeon. Its description in RNAcentral is "bacterial LSU rRNA". It matches the Rfam family "Archaeal large subunit ribosomal RNA". The record is from RNAcentral.
ACUACGCUGUGUGAUGGAUGACUAGGCUUGAGUGCCGAUGAAGGGCGUGGCAAGCUGCGAUAAGCUCCGGGUAGACGCACGCAGUCUCUGAUCCGGAGAUCCCUGAAUAGGACUUCCUCAUUGUGCUCCUUAUGGAGCGGGAACCCCCCGAACUGAAACAUCUUAGUAGGGGGAGGAAGAGAAAACAACCGUGAUUUCCUCAGUAGCGGCGAGCGAAGAGGAAAAAGCCCAAACUGAAUACGCGGGGAGACCCGCCGUAGAUGUGGUGUUCGGGCCAGGAUUGCUCCUUCUCAACGAAGUCAAAGUGCUCUGGAAAGCUCCGCCGUAGAGGGUGAUAGCCCCGUAGAUGCAUGUUGAGAGGAAUGUUCCUGGUACCUGAGUAGCGCUGCUUGGGAUUGCAGCGUGAAUACGGGAGGCAUUAACUUCCAAGGCUAAACACAACUCAAGACCGAUAGAGUAUUAGUACGGUGACGGAAAGUUGAAAAGUCCCCCGAGAGGGGCGUUAAAAGAGCCUGAAGUCACACAGUUACAGACGAUUGGGGCCUGGAAGGGUAGAAGCACCAGAACGAAAGCGCGGUGACGCGCCGGUAGGAUGGUGUGGACCAGGGUUCCAAUAUCCGUUUAGAAUCACGGACCGGGGAGUUCUCUCAUGUGGCGAGCCUAAGACAUGAUCGUAAGCGAAGGGAAACCGAAGCGCGGGCAGCCGCAAGGCGAGCCGCUGGGUCUGAAUAGGGCCCGAAGUCACGUGAGAUAGACUAGAAACCAGAUGAUCUAUCCCUGGGCAGGGUGAAGUCAGGCGAAAGCCUGAUGGAGGCCCGCAAUGGUUUUGAUAUGUAAUUCAAUCAUCUGACCUGGGGAUAGGGGCAAUAGACCAAUCUAAUUUGGUGAUAGCUAGUUCCCUCCGAAGUAUGUCGCAGCAUAGUCUCCGGGGAGGUUGCACGCGGGGUAGAGCACUAAUCGGGUGUCACGGAAGGGAAACCUUUCAGCAGCCUUUUAAACUCCGAAUACGCGUGCGCUGUAGAACCGGGGAGACGGGAUGAUCGGGUUAAGCUCGAUCUCCGCGAGGGGGACAACCCGGACUAAGGUUAAGGCCCCCAAGUCCUGGCUAAGUGACAAACAGAAGGGCGUCGUAAUCCUAAAACAGCGGGGAGGUAAGCUUAGAAGCAGCUAUCCUUUAAAGAAAUCGUAACAGAUCACCCGCCGAGGAUUGGGGCCCCGAAGAUGGACGGGUCUUAAGCCAGGCGCCGAUACCUUAGGCCAAAUGUGUGGUAGGAGGGCGUCCCGCAUGGGUGGAAGUGAGGCCGUGAGGUCUUGUGGACCGUGCAGGGAUUGCAAAUCCCGGUGGUAGUAACAGCAUAGUCGGGUGAGAAUCCCGAUCGCCGAAAGAGCAAGGGUUUCCCGGCAAUGCGUCGUCAGCCGGGAGUUAGCCGAUCCUAAGUGCAGCGUUAACAUGACUGCUCGAAAGGGAAACUGGUUAACAUUCCAGUGCCACGGAGGUACACGAGGUGACUCUAAGCUCAACAGUUGACGAUUCGGGGUAGGCUGAGCAGGGUCGUCGCCCUGUUUAACUGCAUAACUCUGGGGAGUACCGUAAUGGUGAGAACCAGAGGAAAACAGGAAUAGCGUCCCGUUAGGGGCGUUCAGCUGCGCCCUGGAUCCCUUGAAAAGAUUGUUGAGAGGAAUCCUCCGUGUUCGUACCCAGAACCAACACUGGUGCUCAGGGUGAGAAGCCCAAGGCGUGUCGGGGGCAAUUCUGGCGAGGGAAUUCGGCAAAUUAGCCCCGUAUCUUUGGUAUAAGGGGUGCCUACGGCGCUUAGGAAACUUGGCGCGGUAGGUCGCAGUGACUAGGGGGUUCCGGCUGUUUAAUAAAAACAUAGGUAGCCGCCAGGCCGUAAGGCUGUGUACGGCUAUUGAAUCCUGUCCAGUGGUGAUACCUGAAACCUGAUUUCAACCGGGCUACGCUAAACGACGGGAGUAACUCUGACUCUCUCAAGGUAGCCAAAUGCCUUGUCGUGUAAGUUACGACGUGCAUGAAUGGAUCCACGAGGACCCCGCUGUCCCCGCCAGAACCCCGGUGAACCUACCUGCUGGACGAACAGUCCAGCGACUUCCAGUGGAACAAGAAGACCCCGUGGAGCUUUACUGCAGUCAGUCGCUGGGGAUCGGUUGCUUUUGCAGAGCGUAUGUGGGAGCCAGUGAGUGCGCAUCUCCGGGUGCGCAGGAGGCGACAAUGGAACACCACACACUUGUGACUGCUUCCCUGACCAAGACCUUCGAUGUCUGGAACAACGGCUGAUGGGCAGUUCGGCUGGGGCGGCACCCCCUUGAAAAGGAAUCGAGGGGGCCCAAAGACUAGCUCAGGAGGGACAGAAACCCUCCGUAGAGUGUAAAGGCAAAAGCUAGUUUGAUCGGACCUCUAACAAUAGGAGGUCCGAAGGUGAAAGCCAGGCUUAACGAGCUAUCAUGUCCUUAUUAAUGAGGGCUGGUAGUGUCAGAAAAGUUACCCCGGGGAUGGGCGAGAGUUCGCAUCGACCUCGCGGUUCGGUACCUCGAUGUCGGCUCUUCCUAUCCUGGCCUUGCAUAAGGGGCCAAGGGUGAGGCUGCUCGCCUAUUAAAAGGGAUCGUGAGCUGGGUUUAGACCGUCGCGAGACAGGUCGGAUUUUAUUUACUGGGAGUGUUGGAUGUCUGAGGGGAAAGGGCGAUUAGUACGAGAGGAACAUCGCGCUGUGGCCUCUGGUGUACCGGUUGUCUGAUAAGGCAACGCCGGGCAGCUACGCCGCGUCGGAUAAGGGCUGAAAGCAUCUAAGCCCGAAGCCGCUCCUAAAAAUAGACAUCCGUACCUUCGGGUUGGAGGGCUCCGGUAGAAGACCGGUUCAAUGGAGACGGGGUGUAAGUAUCGAGGCUUCGGCCGAGGUACUCAGCCCGCGUCCCCCAAACGCC